UACGGAGGGUGCAAGCGUUAUCCGGAAUUACUGGGUUUAAAGGGAGCGUAGGCUGUUUGAUAAGUCAGAGGUGAAAGCCCGACGCUUAACGUUGGAAUUGCCUUUGAUACUGUCAGACUUGAGAGGAGUUGAGGUGGGCGGAAUGCGACAUGUAGCGGUGAAAUGCAUAGAGAUGUCGUAGAACACCGAUUGCGAAGGCAGCUCACUGGACUCACUCUGACGCUGAGGCUCGAAAGUGUGGGUAGCGAACAGG
This 253-nucleotide ribosomal RNA is filed under the name uncultured bacterium. Its description in RNAcentral is "partial 16S ribosomal RNA". It matches the Rfam family "Bacterial small subunit ribosomal RNA", at positions 524 to 776 of the family's 1533-position model. The record is from RNAcentral.